This 314-nucleotide long non-coding RNA is filed under the name Brassica napus (rape). Its description in RNAcentral is "long non-coding RNA (BNAP_LNC009489)". The record is from RNAcentral. Lineage: Eukaryota; Viridiplantae; Streptophyta; Magnoliopsida; Brassicales; Brassicaceae.
AGGGUUUGGGUUUAAGAUUUAAAAUUUUAGGUUUAGGGUUUAGGAUUUAGGGUUUAGAUUUUAAUAUUUAGGGUUUAGGGUUUAGGAUUUAGAGUUUUGGGUUUAGGCUUUAGGGUUUAGAUUUUAGGAUUUAGGCUUUAGGGUUUAGAUUUUGGGUUUAGGAUUUAAGAUUUAGGGUUUAGAUUUUAGGAUUGGGAUUUAUGGUUUAGUUUUUUGGAUUUAGGGUUUAUAGUUUUAGAGUUUAGGUUUUUAGAAUUUAGAAUUUUGCAGAUGGCGCUAAUUAAUGUCGGUGUUGUUUUUUUUCAGCUAUUUAA